Non-coding RNA from Plectropomus leopardus (leopard coralgrouper), 298 nucleotides. NCBI's taxonomy places the organism in Eukaryota, Metazoa, Chordata, Actinopteri, Perciformes, Serranidae. The record is from RefSeq and is a predicted model, not a curated record.
GUUGCGUUUAAAACCACUGGAUCAAAGUGGCUACAGCCCGUCAGUGAAUAUUUGGGCUUUCCUCUUGAUCAGGUGAAUUUUUUGGCGUGCCAGCUCUUUGCCUUGGGUGCUGCCUUCUGGUUUCGUCUCUACCUCAGUCCUAGCCAUGCCAACCCCCUGGUCAGGCACGCUGUGGCCACUCUUCUUGGCAUUGCCUUUCUCAUCCUCUGCUUUGGAUGGUACUCCGCUCACAUCCUCACAGUGGUGGUUGCAAGCUACUUGAUUAUAAUCCAAGCUGACAUCAACAAUGUACACAGGU